Molecule: ribosomal RNA, 425 nt
Filed under: uncultured bacterium
Lineage: Bacteria
Description: partial 16S ribosomal RNA
Rfam family: Bacterial small subunit ribosomal RNA
Source: RNAcentral
GUGGGGAAUCUUGCGCAAUGGGCGAAAGCCUGACGCAGCCAUGCCGCGUGAAUGAUGAAGGUCUUAGGAUUGUAAAAUUCUUUCACCGGGGACGAUAAUGACGGUACCCGGAGAAGAAGCUCCGGCUAACUUCGUGCCAGCAGCCGCGGUAAUACGAAGGGGGCUAGCGUUGCUCGGAAUUACUGGGCGUAAAGGGCGCGUAGGCGGACAGCUUAGUCAGAGGUGAAAGCCCAGGGCUCAACCUUGGAAUUGCCUUUGAUACUGGCUGUCUUGAGUUUGGGAGAGGUGAGUGGAACUCCGAGUGUAGAGGUGAAAUUCGUAGAUAUUCGGAAGAACACCAGUGGCGAAGGCGACUCACUGGCUCGAUACUGACGCUGAGGUGCGAAAGCGUGGGGAGCAAACAGGAUUAGAAACCCGAGUAGUCC